This 624-nucleotide ribosomal RNA is filed under the name Priestia megaterium. Its description in RNAcentral is "bacterial SSU rRNA". It matches the Rfam family "Bacterial small subunit ribosomal RNA", at positions 1 to 609 of the family's 1533-position model. Lineage: Bacteria; Bacillati; Bacillota; Bacilli; Caryophanales; Bacillaceae. The record is from RNAcentral.
UCGGAGAGUUUGAUCCUGGCUCAGGAUGAACGCUGGCGGCGUGCCUAAUACAUGCAAGUCGAGCGAACUGAUUAGAAGCUUGCUUCUAUGACGUUAGCGGCGGACGGGUGAGUAACACGUGGGCAACCUGCCUGUAAGACUGGGAUAACUUCGGGAAACCGAAGCUAAUACCGGAUAGGAUCUUCUCCUUCAUGGGAGAUGAUUGAAAGAUGGUUUCGGCUAUCACUUACAGAUGGGCCCGCGGUGCAUUAGCUAGUUGGUGAGGUAACGGCUCACCAAGGCAACGAUGCAUAGCCGACCUGAGAGGGUGAUCGGCCACACUGGGACUGAGACACGGCCCAGACUCCUACGGGAGGCAGCAGUAGGGAAUCUUCCGCAAUGGACGAAAGUCUGACGGAGCAACGCCGCGUGAGUGAUGAAGGCUUUCGGGUCGUAAAACUCUGUUGUUAGGGAAGAACAAGUACAAGAGUAACUGCUUGUACCUUGACGGUACCUAACCAGAAAGCCACGGCUAACUACGUGCCAGCAGCCGCGGUAAUACGUAGGUGGCAAGCGUUAUCCGGAAUUAUUGGGCGUAAAGCGCGCGCAGGCGGUUUCUUAAGUCUGAUGUGAAAGCCCACGGCU